CUGCUCAGCAAUGCAAACCCAAUAAAUUAUGAAUAAUCAGCCUGUGCUAAUGCCAGAAUUUUGUCUAUCCAGGAAUUUGCCCGAGCAUUUGCCUGUGUGGUUUCUUCUGAAGUGACCUCAUAAGGUGGUGGCAUCAAACAGCAAGUUCCACCCUCCCAGCUGUGCCAAGAGUCAGUUCGGGAAGAUCUCCAGGAUGACACACUGAGCAGGAAUGGUGGAGCAGCUCUCACAAGUGAGACUCCAAGUCACAGAACAAGAUACCCUUCAGAGGUUGCAGCAUCACCACUGUGAAUGUACUGGCAUAUUGGGAGAGACUGUGGAAGUCAUGGAAGUAAAAUCUUCACCAGAUCAUGAGAGGAUGAAAAGUUAAACUCCUUUUAGGCAGAGCGUGAUCCUCGGUGGCUGUCAGAGCUCUGCCUACAACUUGUACUUCAAACCUUCAUUGAAGUAAACCAGAAUGAUU
RNAcentral lists this long non-coding RNA (463 nucleotides) under Chloebia gouldiae (Gouldian finch). Its description in RNAcentral is "Erythrura gouldiae (Gouldian finch) lncRNA (ENSEGOG00005012391.1)". The record is from RNAcentral. Lineage: Eukaryota; Metazoa; Chordata; Aves; Passeriformes; Passeridae.